GGGUUGUGAGGUUAAGCGACUAAGCGUACACGGUGGAUGCCCUGGCAGUCAGAGGCGAUGAAGGGCGUGCUAAUCUGCGAUAAGCGCCGGUAAGGUGAUAUGAACCGUUAUAACCGGCGAUACCCGAAUGGGGAAACCCAGUGUGAUUCGUCACACUAUCAUUAACUGAAUCCAUAGGUUAAUGAGGCGAACCGGGGGAACUGAAACAUCUAAGUACCCCGAGGAAAAGAAAUCAACCGAGAUUCCCCCAGUAGCGGCGAGCGAACGGGGAGGAGCCCAGAGCCUGAAUCAGCAUGUGUGUUAGUGGAAGCGUCUGGAAAGGCGCGCGAUACAGGGUGACAGCCCCGUACACAAAAGCGCAUGUGCUGUGAGCUCGAUGAGUAGGGCGGGACACGUGGUAUCCUGUCUGAAUAUGGGGGGACCAUCCUCCAAGGCUAAAUACUCCUGACUGACCGAUAGUGAACCAGUACCGUGAGGGAAAGGCGAAAAGAACCCCGGCGAGGGGAGUGAAAAAGAACCUGAAACCGUGUACGUACAAGCAGUGGGAGCACCCUUCGGGGUGUGACUGCGUACCUUUUGUAUAAUGGGUCAGCGACUUAUAUUCUGUAGCAAGGUUAACCGUAUAGGGGAGCCGGAGGGAAACCGAGUCUUAAUUGGGCGUUAAGUUGCAGGGUAUAGACCCGAAACCCGGUGAUCUAGCCAUGGGCAGGUUGAAGGUUGGGUAACACUAACUGGAGGACCGAACCGACUAAUGUUGAAAAAUUAGCGGAUGACCUGUGGCUGGGGGUGAAAGGCCAAUCAAACCGGGAGAUAGCUGGUUCUCCCCGAAAGCUAUUUAGGUAGCGCCUCGUGAAUUCAUCUCCGGGGGUAGAGCACUGUUUCGGCUAGGGGGCCAUCCCGGCUUACCAACCCGAUGCAAACUGCGAAUACCGGAGAAUGUUAUCACGGGAGACACACGGCGGGUGCUAACGUCCGUCGUGAAGAGGGAAACAACCCAGACCGCCAGCUAAGGUCCCAAAGUCAUGGUUAAGUGGGAAACGAUGUGGGAAGGCCCAGACAGCCAGGAUGUUGGCUUAGAAGCAGCCAUCAUUUAAAGAAAGCGUAAUAGCUCACUGGUCGAGUCGGCCUGCGCGGAAGAUGUAACGGGGCUAAACCAUGCACCGAAGCUGCGGCAGCGAACGUAUCACCCAAGACAACUUUACGGAGUUGACGAUUGACGGAGCGAAGCGACGUCAAAGCGUUCAUUAAAGUCGAGUUGGCUUAGGGAUACGUUCGUUGGGUAGGGGAGCGUUCUGUAAGCCUGCGAAGGUGACCUGUGAGGGUUGCUGGAGGUAUCAGAAGUGCGAAUGCUGACAUAAGUAACGAUAAAGCGGGUGAAAAGCCCGCUCGCCGGAAGACCAAGGGUUCCUGUCCAACGUUAAUCGGGGCAGGGUGAGUCGACCCCUAAGGCGAGGCCGAAAGGCGUAGUCGAUGGGAAACGGGUUAAUAUUCCCGUACUUGGUGUUACUGCGAAGGGGGGGACGGAGAAGGCUAUGUUGGCCGGGCGACGGUUGUCCCGGUUUAAGCGUGUAGGUGUGUGUUCCAGGUAAAUCCGGUUCACUUUAACACUGAGGCGUGAUGACGAGGCACUACGGUGCUGAAGCAACAAAUGCCCUGCUUCCAGGAAAAGCCUCUAAGCAUCAGGUAACACGAAAUCGUACCCCAAACCGACACAGGUGGUCAGGUAGAGAAUACCAAGGCGCUUGAGAGAACUCGGGUGAAGGAACUAGGCAAAAUGGUGCCGUAACUUCGGGAGAAGGCACGCUGACACGUAGGUGAAGUGAUUUACUCACGGAGCUGAAGUCAGUCGAAGAUACCAGCUGGCUGCAACUGUUUAUUAAAAACACAGCACUGUGCAAACACGAAAGUGGACGUAUACGGUGUGACGCCUGCCCGGUGCCGGAAGGUUAAUUGAUGGGGUCAGCGUAAGCGAAGCUCCUGAUCGAAGCCCCGGUAAACGGCGGCCGUAACUAUAACGGUCCUAAGGUAGCGAAAUUCCUUGUCGGGUAAGUUCCGACCUGCACGAAUGGCGUAAUGAUGGCGGGCUGUCUCCACCCGAGACUCAGUGAAAUUGAACUCGCUGUGAAGAUGCAGUGUACCCGCGGCAAGACGGAAAGACCCCGUGAACCUUUACUAUAGCUUGACACUGAACAUUGAGCCUUGAUGUGUAGGAUAGGUGGGAGGCUUUGAAGUGUGGACGCCAGUCUGCAUGGAGCCGACCUUGAAAUACCACCCUUUAAUGUUUGAUGUUCUAACGUGGACCCGUAAUCCGGGUUGCGGACAGUGUCUGGUGGGUAGUUUGACUGGGGCGGUCUCCUCCUAAAGAGUAACGGAGGAGCACGAAGGUUGGCUAAUCCUGGUCGGACAUCAGGAGGUUAGUGCAAUGGCAUAAGCCAGCUUGACUGCGAGCGUGACGGCGCGAGCAGGUGCGAAAGCAGGUCAUAGUGAUCCGGUGGUUCUGAAUGGAAGGGCCAUCGCUCAACGGAUAAAAGGUACUCCGGGGAUAACAGGCUGAUACCGCCCAAGAGUUCAUAUCGACGGCGGUGUUUGGCACCUCGAUGUCGGCUCAUCACAUCCUGGGGCUGAAGUAGGUCCCAAGGGUAUGGCUGUUCGCCAUUUAAAGUGGUACGCGAGCUGGGUUUAGAACGUCGUGAGACAGUUCGGUCCCUAUCUGCCGUGGGCGCUGGAGAACUGAGGGGGGCUGCUCCUAGUACGAGAGGACCGGAGUGGACGCAUCACUGGUGUUCGGGUUGUCAUGCCAAUGGCACUGCCCGGUAGCUAAAUGCGGAAGAGAUAAGUGCUGAAAGCAUCUAAGCACGAAACUUGCCCCGAGAUGAGUUCUCCCUGAGACUUAGAGUCUCCUGAAGGAACGUUGAAGACGACGACGUUGAUAGGCCGGGUGUGUAAGCGCAGCGAUGCGUUGAGCUAACCGGUACUAAUGAACCGUGAGGCUUAACCUUACAACGCCGAAG
This 3011-nucleotide ribosomal RNA is filed under the name Salmonella enterica subsp. enterica serovar Typhimurium. RNAcentral describes it as "23S ribosomal RNA". It matches the Rfam family "Bacterial large subunit ribosomal RNA". The record is from RNAcentral. Lineage: Bacteria; Pseudomonadati; Pseudomonadota; Gammaproteobacteria; Enterobacterales; Enterobacteriaceae.